GGAAGGGUUGUAUUUAUUAGAUAAAAAACCAACGCCCUUCGGGGCUUCUUGGUGAUUCAUGAUAACUUCACGGAUCGCAUGGCCUUGCGCCGGCGACGGUUCAUUCAAAUUUCUGCCCUAUCAACUUUCGAUGGUAAGGUAUUGGCUUACCAUGGUUUCAACGGGUAACGGGGAAUUAGGGUUCGAUUCCGGAGAGGGAGCCUGAGAAACGGCUACCACAUCCAAGGAAGGCAGCAGGCGCGCAAAUUACCCAAUCCCGACACGGGGAGGUAGUGACAAUAAAUACUGAUACAGGGCUCUUUUGGGUCUUGUAAUUGGAAUGAGUACAAUUUAAACCUCUUAACGAGGAACAAUUGGAGGGCAAGUCUGGUGCCAGCAGCCGCGGUAAUUCCAGCUCCAAUAGCGUAUAUUAAAGUUGUUGCAGUUAAAAAGCUCGUAGUUGAAACUUGGGCCUGGCUGGCAGGUCCGCCUCACCGCGUGUACUUGUCCGGCCGGGCCUUUCCUUCUGGAGAACCUCAUGCCCUUCACUGGGUGUGUUGGGGAACCAGGACUUUUAC
RNAcentral lists this ribosomal RNA (557 nucleotides) under uncultured Ascomycota. Its description in RNAcentral is "SSU rRNA". It matches the Rfam family "Eukaryotic small subunit ribosomal RNA", at positions 194 to 755 of the family's 1831-position model. The record is from RNAcentral. Lineage: Eukaryota; Fungi; Ascomycota.